This is a long non-coding RNA of Tupaia belangeri chinensis (Chinese tree shrew), 988 nucleotides long. RefSeq lists it as uncharacterized. NCBI's taxonomy places the organism in Eukaryota, Metazoa, Chordata, Mammalia, Scandentia, Tupaiidae. The record is from RefSeq and is a predicted model, not a curated record. The transcript is spliced from 2 exons.
CCACCGGCUCUGAGGUGUGCGCUCAGGAAGCCGCCAGGUCCGAAGGAGGGAGUCUCGAAGAGCUGCCGGCUUGAAUGGAACAUCUUAAAGGGGAACAUCCGUUUUCGGAUUUUAGAGCAUCAACCACACGCAACCUCACCGCGUGACAAAGAGGAGGCGGGAGGCGGUGGUCGAAGUGAAAGAAAAUAGACUCAGGCAUUUCCCAUUUUCUGCUGGUCUUUUUGGUGCCUUCCUUCCCCAAGGACCCACGACCCCAGGCUGAGGCCGCUACUGCCCAGCGCAGAGAGCCCAAUUCGGAUCCAAGACGCACGAGACCCGGCCGCCUCUCCGGAACACGAGUAUUAACAACGGCCGUCUCUGAGAAACUGUCCUGUCUUCCCCUCCCGGAGCUUUAGACUAAGAGCCUAAAGCUCACCCUGGAUUUCUUGGUUCUCUUAAAACUUGUGGCGGAAUGCCUUCCUGCACCGGGCAUUUUCUGGAUGUCUAAGGUGCCAGCUUGCUCUGAGCGAGGGGCUCCCUGGUGGAGCCCACCUCGGGCCGCCAGGAGGUGGCGCAGCGGUUCUGGUGCAUCCCCCGCGCGCCACCUCCUGGUGGCGGGUUCCACUGCCCGGCCCGCACCGGAGCGCGGAAGGCUUCGGCCGCGGAAGCUGAGGCGGUCGCCUGGAGAGGGGCGGGCGGGCAAGGCUGCGGAUCUGGCGUUUGGAGGGUUCCAGCCCAGCAACGUGGCUCUUGGGCCUCAGUGUCUUAACGGGUGUCCGUUUUUUUGGAGUGUGCGGGGGUCAAAGAGGCGACAAAGAUACGAAGGAAUCUGCAAUCAGAGGUUUAAAAGCAGUUUCUGAGAUCAGAAAAUGACUUAAGCAGGAGCAACCCGUAAGUUUCUGUGGCGCAAUCGGUUAGCGCGUUCGGCUGUUAACCGAGAGGUUGGUGGUUCGAGCCCACCCAGGGACGGUACUUUUAUUUAAAGACGUUCUUUCCAGCUAUUCAAAAA